Molecule: ribosomal RNA, 253 nt
Filed under: uncultured bacterium
Lineage: Bacteria
Description: partial 16S ribosomal RNA
Rfam family: Bacterial small subunit ribosomal RNA
Source: RNAcentral
UACGUAGGUGGCAAGCGUUACUCGGAAUCACUAGGCGUAAAGCGCAGGUAGGAGGUUUGGUAAGUCUAUUGUGAAAGCUCCCGGCUUAACUGGGAGAGGUCAAUGGAAACUACCAGGCUGGAGUGCGGUAGAGGUAGCUGGAAUUCCCGGUGUAGCGGUGAAAUGCGUAGAUAUCAAGAGGAACACCUGCGGCGAAGGCGGGUUGCUGGGCUGACACUGACGCUGAGGCGCGAAAGCUAGGGGAGCGAACGGG